Molecule: ribosomal RNA, 376 nt
Filed under: uncultured bacterium
Lineage: Bacteria
Description: bacterial SSU rRNA
Rfam family: Bacterial small subunit ribosomal RNA
Source: RNAcentral
UAAUACAGAGGUCUCAAGCGUUGUUCGGAAUCACUGGGCGUAAAGGGUGCGCAGGCCGCGCGGGCAGUCAAAUGUGUAAUUCAGGGGCUCAACCCCUGGACUGCGCUUGAUACUUCCGUGCUAGAACCUUGGAGAGGAGUCUGGAAUUCUCGGUGUAGCAGUGAAAUGCGUGGAUAUCGAGAAGAACACUAAGGGCGUAAGCAAGACUCUGGACAAGUGUUGACGCUCAUGCACGAAGGCUAGGGUAGCGAACGGGAUUAGAUACCCCGGUAGUCCUAGCUGUAAACGGUGCACGUUUGGUGUGGGAGUGCAACCCCCUUCCCGUGCCGAAGCUAACGCGAUAAGCGUGCCGCCUGGGUAGUACGGUCGCAAGACU